GUCAAGUCCUCAUGGCCUUUAUGCCCAGGGCUGCACACGUGCUACAAUGGCGCGCACAGAACGACGCAAGACCGUAAGGUGGAGCAAAUCGCUAAAAACGCGCCCCAGUUCGGAUUGUGGGCUGCAACUCGCCCACAUGAAGUCGGAAUCGCUAGUAAUCGCGGAUCAGCUACGCCGCGGUGAAUACGUUCCUGAGCCUU
RNAcentral lists this ribosomal RNA (200 nucleotides) under uncultured organism. RNAcentral's name for it is "partial small subunit ribosomal RNA". It matches the Rfam family "Bacterial small subunit ribosomal RNA", at positions 1184 to 1382 of the family's 1533-position model. The record is from RNAcentral.